AGGACGAACGCUGGCGGCGUGCUUAACACAUGCAAGUCGAACGGAAAGGCCCUGCUUUUGUGGGGUGCUCGAGUGGCGAACGGGUGAGUAACACGUGAGUAACCUGCCCUUGACUUUGGGAUAACUUCAGGAAACUGGGGCUAAAUACCGGAUAGGAGCUCCUGCUGCAUGGUGGGGGUUGGAAAGUUUCGGCGGUUGGGGAUGGACUCGCGGCUUAUCAGCUUGUGGUGGGUAUGGCUUACCAAGGCUUUGACGGGUAGCCGGCCUGAGAGGGUGACCGGCCACAUUGGGACUGAGAUACGGCCCAGACUCCUACGGGAGGCAGCAGUGGGAAUAUUGCACAAUGGGCGGAAGCUGAUGCAGCAACGCGCGUGCGGGAUGACGGCCUGGUGUAACGCGUUACGCUCGUGACGAAGCGUGAGUGACGGUAAGUAGGUAAAGAAGACGACCGCUAACUAACGUAGCCACGCAGCCGC
This 476-nucleotide ribosomal RNA is filed under the name uncultured soil bacterium. RNAcentral describes it as "bacterial SSU rRNA". It matches the Rfam family "Bacterial small subunit ribosomal RNA", at positions 26 to 518 of the family's 1533-position model. The record is from RNAcentral.